Molecule: unclassified non-coding RNA, 346 nt
Filed under: soil metagenome
Description: partial contains 5.8S ribosomal RNA, internal transcribed spacer 2, and large subunit ribosomal RNA
Rfam family: 5.8S ribosomal RNA (bases 1-121)
Source: RNAcentral
GAUGAAGAACGCAGCGAAAUGCGAUAAGUAAUGCGAAUUGCAGAAUUUCCGUGAGUCAUCGAAUCUUUGAACGCACAUUGCGCCCACUGGUAUUCCGGUGGGCAUGCCUGUUCGGGCGUCAUUAUCCUCCCUCAAACCCCGGGUUUGGUGUUGGACCGAAGUUGUGUGAACAACUGGUCUAAAAAACAAUGACGGCGUCCGUGGGACCCUCGGUGCAACGAGCUUUUAGGAGCACGCGCCGAGUUGCAAGGACCUUCCGGGCCGGUCUCCUUUUACUAUUUUACAAGGUUGACCUCGGAUCAGGUAGGAAUACCCGCUGAACUUAAGCAUAUCAAUAAGCGGAGGA